Molecule: ribosomal RNA, 253 nt
Filed under: uncultured bacterium
Lineage: Bacteria
Description: partial 16S ribosomal RNA
Rfam family: Bacterial small subunit ribosomal RNA
Source: RNAcentral
UACGGAGGGUGCUAGCGUUGUUCGGAAUUACUGGGCGUAAAGGGCGCGUAGGCGGCUCUGUCAGUCGGGUGUGAAAGCCCGGGGCUCAACCCCGGAACGGCACCCGAGACGGCGGGGCUGGAGACCGGGAGAGGAGGGUGGAAUAGCCAGUGUAGAGGUGAAAUUCGUAGAUAUUGGCUGGAACACCGGUGGCGAAAGCGGCUCUCUGGCCCGGUUCUGACGCUGAGGCGCGAAAGCGUGGGGAGCAAACAGG